RNAcentral lists this ribosomal RNA (253 nucleotides) under uncultured bacterium. Its description in RNAcentral is "partial 16S ribosomal RNA". It matches the Rfam family "Bacterial small subunit ribosomal RNA", at positions 524 to 776 of the family's 1533-position model. The record is from RNAcentral.
UACAGAGGUCUCAAGCGUUGUUCGGAUUCAUUGGGCGUAAAGGGUGCGUAGGUGGCGCCGUAAGUCGGGUGUGAAAUUUCGGAGCUCAACUCCGAAACUGCAUUCGAUACUGCGGUGCUUGAGGACUGGAGAGGAGACUGGAAUUCAUGGUGUAGCAGUGAAAUGCGUAGAUAUCGGGAGGAACACCAGUGGCGAAGGCGACUACCUGGCCUGUUCUUGACGCUGAGGCGCGAAAGCUAGGGGAGCAAACGGG